AAUAGAUACCCGGGUAGUCCACGCUGUAAACGUUGGGCGCUAGGUGUGGGCGACUUCCACGUUGUCCGUGCCGUAGCUAACGCAUUAAGCGCCCCGCCUGGGGAGUACGGCCGCAAGGCUAAAACUCAAAGGAAUUGACGGGGGGCCCGCACAAGCGGCGGAGCAUGUGGAUUAAUUCGAUACAACGCGAAGAACCUUACCUGGGCUUGACAUGCACUGGAAACCGGCAGAGAUGUCGGCCCCCUUGUGGCCGGUGUGCAGGUGGUGCAUGGCUGUCGUCAGCUCGUGUCGUGAGAUGUUGGGUUAAGUCCCGCAACGAGCGCAACCCUUGUCCUGUGUUGCCAGCGCGUAAUGGCGGGGACUCGCGGGAGACUGCCGGGGUCAACUCGGAGGAAGGUGGGGAUGACGUCAAGUCAUCAUGCCCCUUAUGUCCAGGGCUUCACACAUGCUACAAUGGCUGGUACAGAGGGCUGCGAUACCGUGAGUGGAGCGAUCCUUAAAGCCGGUCUCAGUUCGGAUCGCAGU
This 525-nucleotide ribosomal RNA is filed under the name uncultured bacterium. Its description in RNAcentral is "bacterial SSU rRNA". It matches the Rfam family "Bacterial small subunit ribosomal RNA", at positions 777 to 1304 of the family's 1533-position model. The record is from RNAcentral.